Molecule: long non-coding RNA, 1150 nt
Organism: Drosophila novamexicana
Lineage: Eukaryota; Metazoa; Arthropoda; Insecta; Diptera; Drosophilidae
Exons: 3
Source: RefSeq, a predicted model, not a curated record
GUGGGAAUAUAAAUCAAAUUACGAAGUGCACAUCUGAAAGGCCAAAGUCGUUAAGGAAACGCAGCGGCAGGAGAGAAGGAAGCAAACAAACAAAAAAAUAUUAAGAAAAAGAAAGAGCCGGGCUCAUCUUGAAAGCUGGGGAUAAAGAUGCGGCCGGAUGGACGAGGCGGCCAACACCUUUGCUGAACGUGCACAGCCAGUGCGUUUACAAUUACAUACACAAUUAUGGCGGCAGCCAAAGCAGGCUAGCGAGCGAGCAGGACAACGCGAACUGCUGCCUCAUUACGGGCAGCCAAGGACGCGCUGCACUUACAGCUGGGCAGCCAGCCCGCGGCGUAGAUAUUUUUAUGCACUUGCCACCCCAAAAUGGCUUUAACAAAUUUCAGCUCGCUUUUAUGCUUGGCCUCGACGCUAUAUUAAUGGCCCAGGCAACUUUCGGUGCAAUUAACUGGCUGCAACAACAGACCCAAACCUCAUUUCAGACCCCCUUCACAGCUGCUCGCAUAACAAUCAGAGACAGAGACAAAAGCGUAAAGCGAACAUUUAUGCUGAAAUAUAAGCACAUUAAUUCGAAAAGCAGCAGCAGCUGGGGGCUAGGGCAGCUGGAAAAUCAGACAACAGGCAAAUUGAGGUGCGAAUCCAUAAACACACAAGUGCGAGAAGCUAUAAAAUUGAAAUGCCCGCGUUGAGAAGUAUGCUACGCCUGCCACGCGCCACAGCACCCAAUGGGGCGUAUGCGCAAUGCUGCAUUGCCCGCUGUAUGAAACGCGGCAGCAGCAACAACAACAACAGCUGCCAUUGGUAAAGUGCCGGGCAGCAAUAAAUAUGCUUCAACUAUUUGGCAGCCGGCGUAUUUAAGAGUUCCGCAGCAACAACAUCAAACAAAUGUGCGCUCGCCGCAUAUGACUGACUGGUAGCUACCCUAGAAGCUGAAUUGAUUUGCUUGAUAAAUAUAUAUUAGAAUGCAAUGGAAGUGACCGCAGCUCCAGACAUUUUGAAAAAUGCAUUCCCAAAAGACCUCGAAACUUAUUUUCCAAUCGUUGCGAAAUUCUCAGCACCAAAGAUAGCAUGAAAAUGUGUAACUUUUGUGCUUUAAAUUUAAUAAUUGACAAAAAUUAUAUAUUUAAAAUAAACCGUAUAAUUUGAAAAU